This 468-nucleotide ribosomal RNA is filed under the name uncultured bacterium. RNAcentral's name for it is "partial 16S ribosomal RNA". It matches the Rfam family "Bacterial small subunit ribosomal RNA", at positions 28 to 507 of the family's 1533-position model. The record is from RNAcentral.
GACGAACGCUGGCGGCGUGCUUAACACAUGCAAGUCGAACGGAAAGGCCCUGCUUUUGUGGGGUGCUCGAGUGGCGAACGGGUGAGUAACACGUGAGUAACCUGCCCUUGACUUUGGGAUAACUUCAGGAAACUGGGGCUAAUACCGGAUAGGAGCUCCUGCUGCAUGGUGGGGGUUGGAAAGUUUCGGCGGUUGGGGAUGGACUCGCGGCUUAUCAGCUUGUUGGUGGGGUAGUGGCUUACCAAGGCUUUGACGGGUAGCCGGCCUGAGAGGGUGACCGGCCACAUUGGGACUGAGAUACGGCCCAGACUCCUACGGGCGGCAGCAGUGGGGAAUAUUGCACAAUGGGCGGAAGCCUGAUGCAGCAACGCCGCGUGCGGGAUGACGGCCUUCGGGUUGUAAACCGCUUCCGCCUGUGACGAAGCGUGAGUGACGGUAAUGGGUAAAGAAGCACCGGCUAACUACGUG